RNAcentral lists this long non-coding RNA (498 nucleotides) under Pelobates cultripes (western spadefoot toad). The record is from RNAcentral. Lineage: Eukaryota; Metazoa; Chordata; Amphibia; Anura; Pelobatidae.
AUAUUAUUAUUAUUAUUAUUAUUAUUGCCAUUUAUAUAGCGCCAACAGAUUCCGUAGCGCUUUACAAUAUUAUGUGAGGGGAUUUAACUAUAAAUAGGACAAUUACAAAUAAACUUACAGGAACAAUAGGUUGAAGAGGACCCUGCUCAAUCGAGCUUACAUUCUAUAGGAGGUGGGGUGUAAAAUACAGUAGGACAGGAAUUUGCAAUCAAAUAAGGUGGACUGCCCUUUAGGAGAGGGCAAGAGACAGGUAUGUGAGGUAGGGGUUAGUCUUGGAGGCCAUAAGCUUUCCUAAAGAGAUGGGUUUUAAGGCACUUCUUAAAAGAUGCAAGACUAGGGGAGAGUCUGAUGGCAGGAGGCAGGCUAUUCCAUAGGAAGGGAGCUGCCCGCGAGAAGUCCUGCAAACGCGAGUUGGCCGUACGGGUGCGGACAACGGACAGGAGGUGGUCACGGGAAGAGCGGAGAGACCGAGAAGGGACAUACCUAUGGAUCUGUGAG